GAGCCAGACUCCUACGGGAGGCAGCAGUGGGGAAUAUUGCACAAUGGGGGAAACCCUGAUGCAGCGACGCCGCGUGAGUGAAGAAGUAUUUCGGUCUGUAAAUCUCUAUCAGCAGGAAAGAAAAUGACGGUACCUGACUAAGAAGCCCCGGCUAACUACGUGCCAGCAGCCGCGGUAAUACGUAGGGGGCAAGCGUUAUCCGGAUUUACUGGGUGUAAAGGGGGCGCAGACGGCGAUGCAAGCCAGGAGUGAAAGCCCGGGGCCCAACCCCGGGACUGCUCUUGGAACUGCGUGGCUGAAGUGCAGGAGGGGCAGGCGGAAUUCCUGGUGUAGCGGUGAAAUGCGUAGAUAUCAGGAGGAACACCGGUGGCGAAGGCGGCCUGCUGGACUGCAACUGACGUUGAGGCCCGAAAGCGUGGGGAGCAAACAGGAUUAGAUACCCCUGUA
This 447-nucleotide ribosomal RNA is filed under the name uncultured bacterium. Its description in RNAcentral is "partial 16S ribosomal RNA". It matches the Rfam family "Bacterial small subunit ribosomal RNA", at positions 328 to 792 of the family's 1533-position model. The record is from RNAcentral.